UACGUAGGGUGCGAGCGUUAAUCGGAAUUACUGGGCGUAAAGCGUGCGCAGGCGGUGAUGUAAGCCAGAUGUGAAAUCCCCGGGCUUAACCUGGGAAUGGCAUUUGGGACUGCAAGGCUCGAGUGCGGCAGAGGAGACUGGAAUUCCUGGUGUAGCAGUGAAAUGCGUAGAUAUCAGGAGGAACACCGAUGGCGAAGGCAGGUCUCUGGGCUGACACUGACGCUCAUGCACGAAAGCGUGGGGAGCAAACAGG
Molecule: ribosomal RNA, 253 nt
Filed under: uncultured bacterium
Lineage: Bacteria
Description: partial 16S ribosomal RNA
Rfam family: Bacterial small subunit ribosomal RNA
Source: RNAcentral